This 471-nucleotide ribosomal RNA is filed under the name uncultured bacterium. RNAcentral describes it as "partial 16S ribosomal RNA". It matches the Rfam family "Bacterial small subunit ribosomal RNA", at positions 29 to 507 of the family's 1533-position model. The record is from RNAcentral.
AUAAACGCUGGCGGCGCACAUAAGACAUGCAAGUUGAACGGACUUAAUCGAAAUAUUUAUAUUUUGAAGCGGUUAGUGGCGGACUGGUGAGUAACGCGUAAGGAACCUGCCUAUUAGAGGGGAAUAACAGUGAGAAAUCAUUGCUAAUACCGCAUAUGCCAUAGAUAUCACAUGAUAACAGUGGGAAGGAGCAAUCCGCUAAUAGAUGGCCUUGCGUCUGAUUAGAUAGUUGGUGGGGUAACGGCCUACCAAGUCGACGAUCAGUAGCCGGACUGAGAGGUUGAACGGCCACAUUGGGACUGAGAUACGGCCCAGACUCCUACGGGAGGCAGCAGUCGGGAAUAUUGCGCAAUGGAGGAAACUCUGACGCAGUGACGCCGCGUAUAGGAAGAAGGUUUUCGGAUUGUAAACUAUUGUCGUUAGGGAAGAGAAAGGACAGUACCUAAGGAGGAAGCUCCGGCUAACUACGUG